RNAcentral lists this ribosomal RNA (330 nucleotides) under uncultured bacterium. Its description in RNAcentral is "bacterial SSU rRNA". It matches the Rfam family "Bacterial small subunit ribosomal RNA", at positions 568 to 898 of the family's 1533-position model. The record is from RNAcentral.
UGCGUAGGCGGUCCCGCAAGUCCGCUGUGAAAUCCCCGGGCUUAACCUGGGAAUGGCAGUGGAAACUAGGGGACUUGAAUCUGGCAGAGGGGGGUGGAAUGCCACGUGUAGCAGUGAAAUGCGUAGAGAUGUGGCGGAACACCGAUGGCGAAGGCAGCCCCCUGGGCUGAGAUUGACGCUCAGGCACGAAAGCGUGGGGAGCAAACAGGAUUAGAUACCCUGGUAGUCCACGCCCUAAACGAUGAUCACUAGGUGUUGGGGAAGCGAUUUCUCAGUACCGCAGCUAACGCGUGAAGUGAUCCGCCUGGGGAGUACGGUCGCAAGAUUAAA